Molecule: ribosomal RNA, 497 nt
Filed under: uncultured bacterium
Lineage: Bacteria
Description: partial 16S ribosomal RNA
Rfam family: Bacterial small subunit ribosomal RNA
Source: RNAcentral
ACGAACGCUGGCGGCGUGCCUAAUCCAUGCAAGUCGAGCGGACGGAUGGGAGCUUGCUCCCAGACCGUCAGCGGCGGACGGGUGAGUAACACGUGGGCAACCUGCCUGUAAGACUGGGAUAACUCCGGGAAACCGGGGCUAAUACCGGAUAACUCUUUCCCUCACAUGAGGGAAAGCUGAAAGAUGGCAUCUCGCUAUCACUUACAGAUGGGCCCGCGGCGCAUUAGCUAGUUGGUGAGGUAACGGCUCACCAAGGCGACGAUGCGUAGCCGACCUGAGAGGGUGAUCGGCCACACUGGGACUGAGACACGGCCCAGACUCCUACGGGAGGCAGCAGUAGGGAAUCUUCCGCAAUGGACGAAAGUCUGACGGAGCAACGCCGCGUGAGUGAUGAAGGUUUUCGGAUCGUAAAACUCUGUUGUCAGGGAAGAACAAGUACCGGAGUAACUGCCGGUACCUUGACGGUACCUGACCAGAAAGCCACGGCUAACUACGUG